GAUGAAGAACGUAGCGAAAUGCGAUAAGUAAUGUGAAUUGCAGAAUUCAGUGAAUCAUCGAAUCUUUGAACACACAUUGCGCCCGCCAGUAUUCUGGCGGGCAUGCCUGUUCGAGCGUCAUUUCAACCAUCAAGCCCCCGGGCCUGUGUUGGGGACCUGCGGCUGCCCGCAGGCCCCGAAAACCAGUGGCGGGCUCGCUGUCACCCCGAGCGUAGUAGCAACACCUCGCCCAGGGAGUGCCGCGGGCACCGGCCGUAAAACCUCCUCUCGCCCCCCCCGCGGGAGGGAACACCCCAAAGGUUGACCUCGGAUCAGGUAGGAAGACCCGCUGAACUUAAGCAUAUCAAUAAGCGGAGGA
This 358-nucleotide unclassified non-coding RNA is filed under the name soil metagenome. RNAcentral describes it as "partial contains 5.8S ribosomal RNA, internal transcribed spacer 2, and large subunit ribosomal RNA". The stretch from base 1 to 120 matches the Rfam family "5.8S ribosomal RNA", at positions 35 to 154 of the family's 154-position model. The record is from RNAcentral.